Molecule: small RNA, 2633 nt
Filed under: Pan troglodytes (chimpanzee)
Lineage: Eukaryota; Metazoa; Chordata; Mammalia; Primates; Hominidae
Description: retained intron
Source: RNAcentral
AGCUUGAUGGCGUGGGGCUGGAGAACCGCAGUCCCGGCUGCAGCAACUGGGAGAAGGCAGACCGUGUGAGGGGGCCUGUGGCCCCAGCGUGCUGUGGCCUCGGGGAGUGGGAAGUGGAGGCAGGAGCCUUCCUUACACUUCGCCAUGAGUUUCCUGAUCGACUCCAGCAUCAUGAUUACCUCCCAGAUACUAUUUUUUGGAUUUGGGUGGCUUUUCUUCAUGCGCCAAUUGUUUAAAGACUAUGAGAUACGUCAGUAUGUUGUACAGGUGAUCUUCUCCGUGACGUUUGCAUUUUCUUGCACCAUGUUUGAGCUCAUCAUCUUUGAAAUCUUAGGAGUAUUGAAUAGCAGCUCCCGUUAUUUUCACUGGAAAAUGAACCUGUGUGUAAUUCUGCUGAUCCUGGUUUUCAUGGUGCCUUUUUACAUUGGCUAUUUUAUUGUGAGCAAUAUCCGACUACUGCAUAAACAACGACUGCUUUUUUCCUGUCUCUUAUGGCUGACCUUUAUGUAUUUCUUCUGGAAACUAGGAGAUCCCUUUCCCAUUCUCAGCCCAAAACAUGGGAUCUUAUCCAUAGAACAGCUCAUCAGCCGGGUUGGCGUGAUUGGAGUGACUCUCAUGGCUCUUCUUUCUGGGUUUGGUGCUGUCAACUGCCCAUACACUUACAUGUCUUACUUCCUCAGGAAUGUGACUGACACAGAUAUUCUAGCCCUGGAACGGCGACUGCUGCAAACCAUGGAUAUGAUCAUAAGCAAAAAGAAAAGGAUGGCAAUGGCACGGAGAACAAUGUUCCAGAAGGGGGAAGUGCAUAACAAACCAUCAGGUUUCUGGGGAAUGAUAAAAAGUGUUACCACUUCAGCAUCAGGAAGUGAAAAUAACACCAUGGCAUAAGACAAUCCCAUGAAGAUAAGAUAUAAAAGAAGAUAAUGUUUGAAAAGAAAUAAGGUAAUGUCUGUAAAUCCUAGCCUAUAUUAGAACACAGUAAAGUAUUAGUUCCCUUUUCUAACAUUAUAUUCAGAUAAUGUAGGAGAAAGCUAUGCUUUAUUAUAGUUAUUAUUGUGUAACUAACUAUUUACAAUCUUGAACAUUACAUUUGACUUAAUCUAACUAGAUAAAUCAAAAAACAAAUGAAACCAUCUGUUUGAGCUGCUUGACUUAAGAGAAACUGAGUGGUAAUUGUUUGGUGGCAAUGCUCUUGAUGGAGAAGCUUUUACACACCUGCGUCAGAGGUUGGGAAAGUUGCUCUGAAGUAGCGCUGCUGGCUAUGAAACAGGAAAUUGAGAAUACAGGCAACUCCGGGAAUCCACUGUAGGAAAAACCAAAAGUAUAUGCUUUCUCAUUGCCAUUUCUUGAAAUUCCUAUGUGAUUAAAACCUUGAUGCCCAUUCUGUGCCAGAUCUUACUCUUAUUCAACAGGAAGUGGAUGCUUUGGAAGAAUUAAGCAGGCAGCUUUUUCUGGAAACAGCUGAUCUAUAUGCUACCAAGGAGAGAAUAGAAUACUCCAAAACCUUCAAGGGGAAAUAUUUUAAUUUUCUUGGUUACUUUUUCUCUAUUUACUGUGUUUGGAAAAUUUUCAUGGCUACCAUCAAUAUUGUUUUUGAUCGAGUUGGGAAAACGGAUCCUGUCACAAGAGGCAUUGAGAUCACUGUGAAUUAUCUGGGAAUCCAAUUUGAUGUGAAGUUUUGGUCCCAACACAUUUCCUUCAUUCUUGUUGGAAUAAUCAUCGUCACAUCCAUCAGAGGAUUGCUGAUCACUCUUACCAAGUUCUUUUAUGCCAUCUCUAGCAGUAAGUCCUCCAAUGUCAUUGUCCUGCUAUUAGCACAGAUAAUGGGCAUGUACUUUGUCUCCUCUGUGCUGCUGAUCCGAAUGAGUAUGCCUUUAGAAUACCGCACCAUAAUCACUGAAGUCCUUGGAGAACUGCAGUUCAACUUCUAUCACCGUUGGUUUGAUGUGAUCUUCCUGGUCAGCGCUCUCUCUAGCAUACUCUUCCUCUAUUUGGCUCACAAACAGGCACCAGAGAAGCAAAUGGCACCUUGAACUUAAGCCUACUACAGACUGUUAGAGGCCAGUGGUUUCAAAAUUUAGAUAUAAGAGGGGGGAAAAAUGGAACCAGGGCCUGACAUUUUAUAAACAAAAUGCUAUGGUAGCAUUUUUCACCUUCAUAGCAUACUCCUUCGCCCUCAGGUGAUACUAUGACCAUGAGUAGCAUCAGCCAGAACAUGAGAGGGAGAACUAACUCAAGACAAUACUCAGCAGAGAGCAUCCCGUGUGGAUAUGAGGCUGGUGUAGAGGCGGAGAGGAGCCAAGAAACUAAAGGUGAAAAAUAUACUGGAACUCUGGGGCAAGAGAUGUCUAUGGUAGCUGAGCCAAACACGUAGGAUUUCCCUUUUAAGGUUCAUAUGGAAAAGGUUAUAGCUUUCCCUUGAGAUUGACUCAUUAAAAUCAGAGACUGUAACACUUUUGCCUUACGUUCAUUUUAUCAAGCAUAGCUUGGUAUUUAUUAUGCUUGUGUGAUCUAACAUGAGUUAGCAUCCCACACCUCCUCAUCUGAUCCUGCCCCAUUAAAAUAACCAAGAGGUUAUCUGUUCUUUUCCGGGAAAGGGGUGGUAUGCACCUGAAAUAGAUUUUACCAAAAGA